AUUCCCACUAAAGAUAACGAAACGUGAUCUAUUUUUCAGAACAGCAAGUGGAUGGGAAAGAACCUUGACAACACAAAACUCAUUUACUAAUGGACUGGUUUUGAGUUUCUCUUCUCUGAGUCCGCAAAUCGCCCAGCCUGAGCCCUCGGCUUAUUCAGACCUCGCGGGGAGCCGAGGCCCGCAGAAGGCAGGUGGACAGCUGCUCCCGCGCGGCGCGGGCCAUCUGAGCUCGGGUUCCCAAGGGUCGAGGGCAUCCGGAAUUUCGGACUAAACAGAGGAAAAAGAUGAAUGUUGUUACUUCAGCUCGGACUUGGGGAGUCUCCUCACUGCCCCAGGGCGAUGUCGCUAAUUUACUGGAGAAACACCUCUCGAAGCCCUUCCCUUCCAGGUAUCUGUAGGUAGAGUAGGAUCCGUGCCUUGGUUCUCGAUGGCGAAGGAAUUCCAAGUAAGCGGGCUGGAAACCCUAAAGUAUCUUGCUUCAAACCCGAAGAGAAAAAGUACGUCCCAACUAUAGGGUUUUGAACCAAGGCCUUAUGCCAACCCAGCUAAGAAACCCCAGCAGCUUUUAAUGUUUUCGCAUUGACUUUUUGGUCCACCGGCUCCUUGCACCCGACCAUUACCCGCACAGCAGAGGCACACAGGAGCCGAAACCCGACAACGGGUGCGGAUCACCAGCCGUGUUACCCUUAGAAGCCCAGAUGAGGCUAGGGCAGCAGCAGCAGGCUAGCAGGAGUUGCUCCGUUCCCUUUAAAUCUCCGACGCAUCUCUGUUUUUCAUGCGAUUUGCAUUGACAGCAAAGGUUUUAUGUUACAGAACAACUCAAACCUUUCUGUGUGCUAUUUAAAAUGGAUCAUUUGGUUUAUGUGGUUUGUAAAUUCAUGUCAUUUUACCUCUUUUAGUGGUUUUCAGUGAAAGGCUCCAUUUUGGGAAACCUUAUAUAUCCGAGCCAAUAAUUAACAUUUAUAACAAUUGGUUCCUUUUAACCAAGGGAUCGAAAUAGCAGGUAGGCUCUUUGGUACAAAGCGCAUAACUUUUUCUUUAUAGUUAUGCGCAAACCGGAGGGUAAAGGCUGGCGGAUCCGACCACCAGGCCUCUGAGGACAAGCACCUCUCUCAGCGCCUGCAAUCACAGCACCCACACAGUCAUCUUCCCAGUUGUUAUUAACAUCUGGGUUAGUACAUCCCGGUUCCUUUUGAAGACAGAUGAAAAGAAGUGGGCAGGGAGGUCUGGAAAAAGCCGAAAAAAGGUGGUCCUUAUUGGUGUCUAAUUGCCAUCUCUCUGCUCUCUUGUGAUCCUGUAAAUUUAUGUUUGCCCUUAUGCGUUCAAGCUAUGCCUUAUAUCCUUAGAGAAA
Molecule: long non-coding RNA, 1351 nt
Filed under: Marmota monax (woodchuck)
Lineage: Eukaryota; Metazoa; Chordata; Mammalia; Rodentia; Sciuridae
Source: RNAcentral